UACGGAGGGUGCAAGCGUUAUCCGGAUUCACUGGGUUUAAAGGGUGCGUAGGUGGGUUUGUAAGUCAGUGGUGAAAUCUCCGAGCUUAACUCGGAAACUGCCAUUGAUACUAUAGAUCUUGAAUUAUCUGGAGGUGAGCGGAAUAUGUCAUGUAGCGGUGAAAUGCUUAGAUAUGACAUAGAACACCAAUUGCGAAGGCAGCUCACUACGGAUAUAUUGACACUGAGGCACGAAAGCGUGGGGAUCAAACAGG
RNAcentral lists this ribosomal RNA (253 nucleotides) under uncultured bacterium. Its description in RNAcentral is "partial 16S ribosomal RNA". It matches the Rfam family "Bacterial small subunit ribosomal RNA", at positions 524 to 776 of the family's 1533-position model. The record is from RNAcentral.